GCGCCCGUAGCUCAGUUGGAUAGAGCGCCGGACUUCGAAUCCGUAGGCCGCAGGUUCGAGCCCUGCCGGGCGCGCCA
This 77-nucleotide transfer RNA is filed under the name Desulfatitalea alkaliphila. RNAcentral describes it as "tRNA-Arg". It matches the Rfam family "tRNA". Rfam says of the family: Transfer RNA (tRNA) molecules are approximately 80 nucleotides in length. Their secondary structure includes four short double-helical elements and three loops (D, anti-codon, and T loops). Further hydrogen bonds mediate the characteristic L-shaped molecular structure. tRNAs have two regions of fundamental functional importance: the anti-codon, which is responsible for specific mRNA codon recognition, and the 3' end, to which the tRNAs corresponding amino acid is attached (by aminoacyl-tRNA synthetases). tRNAs cope with the degeneracy of the genetic code in two manners: having more than one tRNA (with a specific anti-codon) for a particular amino acid; and 'wobble' base-pairing, i.e. permitting non-standard base-pairing at the 3rd anti-codon position. Lineage: Bacteria; Pseudomonadati; Thermodesulfobacteriota; Desulfobacteria; Desulfobacterales; Desulfosarcinaceae. The record is from RNAcentral.